This 457-nucleotide ribosomal RNA is filed under the name uncultured bacterium. RNAcentral's name for it is "SSU rRNA". It matches the Rfam family "Bacterial small subunit ribosomal RNA", at positions 26 to 518 of the family's 1533-position model. The record is from RNAcentral.
AGAACGAACGCUGGCGGCAGGCCUAACACAUGCAAGUCGAACGCCGUAGCAAUACGGAGUGGCAGACGGGUGAGUAACGCGUGGGAACAUACCCCCCGGUUCGGAAUAACUCAGGGAAACUUGAGCUAAUACCGGAUACGUCCGAGGUUUUAAUCGGCUUCGGAGAAAGAUUUAUCGCCGGAGGAUUGGCCCGCGUCUGAUUAGCUUGUUGGUGAGGUAAUGGCUCACCAAGGCGACGAUCAGUAGCUGGUCUGAGAGGAUGAUCAGCCACAUUGGGACUGAGACACGGCCCAAACUCCUACGGGAGGCAGCAGUGGGGAAUAUUGGACAAUGGGCGAAAGCCUGAUCCAGCCAUGCCGCGUGAGUGAUGAAGGCCUUAGGGUUGUAAAGCUCUUUUGCCCGGAAGAUAAUGACGGUACCGGAGAAUAAGCCCGGCUAACUUCGUGCCAGCAGCCGC